Molecule: ribosomal RNA, 225 nt
Filed under: Triticum aestivum (bread wheat)
Lineage: Eukaryota; Viridiplantae; Streptophyta; Magnoliopsida; Poales; Poaceae
Description: partial small subunit ribosomal RNA
Source: RNAcentral
UGCAGCAAGAGAAACGGCGCCCAGAACGCAACCAGGCGAUGCUCGCGGGGUGUGGCACCGUCGAAUGAGAGGUGGCCGAGAGCAUAUAUCGCGGUGGCGUCGGCCAGUUGGUACGCCAGCCAGAGCAUGAACCUGAACGUACGCCAGGAUGUGCCACGCCGCCGGAUCGCCGCUAACAGGACGAGGGCAACCUGCAGAGUUAGGCUCGUCAGCACCAGGCUCUGA